RNAcentral lists this ribosomal RNA (246 nucleotides) under uncultured bacterium. RNAcentral's name for it is "partial 16S ribosomal RNA". It matches the Rfam family "Bacterial small subunit ribosomal RNA", at positions 524 to 769 of the family's 1533-position model. The record is from RNAcentral.
UACGUAGGGUGCAAGCGUUAAUCGGAAUUACUGGGCGUAAAGCGUGCGCAGGCGGCUAUGCAAGACAGAUGUGAAAUCCCCGGGCUCAACCUGGGAACUGCAUUUGUGACUGCAUCGCUGGAGUGCGGCAGAGGGGGAUGGAAUUCCGCGUGUAGCAGUGAAAUGCGUAGAUAUGCGGAGGAACACCGAUGGCGAAGGCAAUCCCCUGGGCCUGCACUGACGCUCAUGCACGAAAGCGUGGGGAGC